Molecule: non-coding RNA, 1859 nt
Organism: Oncorhynchus mykiss (rainbow trout)
Lineage: Eukaryota; Metazoa; Chordata; Actinopteri; Salmoniformes; Salmonidae
Source: RefSeq, a predicted model, not a curated record
AUUGGAAUAGCAUUAUCUGUCAAUAGAUUGUGGUUUCAUAGACAUCAAGAAGCACCAACCAGUCCAGUCCAGUCCACUAUGGAGGAGCAUUUCCUGGGGUUAUGGGUGUGCUUUAACACAGGCGCCAGGGGCCAAGGAGGAACCCAGGGGUCAACAGCUCUGCACUAAUCUCCAACAAACUGAUGGAGCUACGCCUGUACGCCGGUACAACUCCCACCCAUUGGAGAAACUGUACAGCCCAGCCUGGUCUCAACACCCUGCCAGGAAUGAACCAAAUACAGUGGGUGUGUGUAUGUGUGCGUGUGCCCACAAAGCCCAGCAGGUAUUUUGAGUGACAGACACCCAUAGCCCGCCCCUGCGUCUCUGCCUCGUCGGGCGGUGAACCCCGACCACAGAAGAACCAGUCAUACCCGAUGAGUCACCCAGCGACCAAUCAGCAGAGAGGCAGGCAAGGUGUUUUCAAAACAUGUUUGAUUUUGAGCAGCAGCAUUUUCGGGGAAGUGGGCUGGCCUAUUAGCCUGGUCUUGUCUGCUGGAGUGCAGAUUGGACUGAAAUACAGAAUGUGUUGUAGGGAUGCCAUUGAGUCAAUGUGUCGGAUAAUGAUAAGAGACUAGUGCUACUCCCACUCCCUGCUCUGCUCUGAGAUGGCCAGUCAUGGAGGGGACAACAGCCCCUGUCUUGAAGCUCUUUAUCCCUCACACGCCAGAGCAAACAAUCAAUGCCCACGUGUGGUUAGCCUUUCCUUUCCUUAUUCCUUGUCUCCACCUCCUCCUAUUCCUUUCUGUUGUCACAUAUAACUUAGGGAUGAGGCAGAUCAUGGCACACAUGCUUCCCCAGGUGACAAGGGGCAUGAUAUUUCAGGGGAGGGGGUUGAAACUGAGCUGAAGACCAGGAAAGGGCCGUGGUGCAGUCAUUUAGCAGCUUGGUUCCUGUUCCAAUGAACUAACUGGUGGUUCUCUGAACAGGGGAGUAGCUCCCUCUCUGGAAGACCCUCCCACUCUCUUCACAGAAUCCAGGAGAGGCCACAGCAACAGACCCAUAUCAAGCAGACAGCCACGGCCACACGGCGACACACCAACUCACGUGAAUUACACCUACCAUUUGAGGAGGGUAUAGAGUUUUCAACUCAAUGCGCGCUAAACAUGGCAGAGACUGUCUGGUGACAUAACUGCUGAGGUAAUGAGGGAAACCAGCCAAGCAGCCAACUCAGCUCUCCACACAGUCUGGUUCACAGCCUAUGCAACAUAAGGACUUCAAGGAUAUUUACAGAAGUUAACGAGGCAAGAACAACAGUCCUGCAGUGCCGGAGAUGGAGGACAAGCUUUCAUAUAUCUAAAGUGUGAGCUGUGUCCGUCCCUUCUCCCUCCCCCCUGGGGCAGCCGCAGACAGCACAUCUGGCCAUUUGAAGUCCUUUGGUUAUCAGCCAAGUGUGUCGCUGUACCUGCAGCCAUCUGUGAAGGGGCUGCCAGCCCUCCGCCAGCCAGCCGGACGACGCUCCGCUUCCCUUCCGUGACCAAGAACGGCCCAUACUCUCUCGCUCCGUCAACCUACACGGUGGGCUCGCUCUCUGUUGUGUUGUAGAGGAAAGAAGACAGAGAACAUGAAAGCCUUCAUUAAAAAUGGCCAUACAUUUUUCACUUUGAAAAGCUCCCAUUGAAACGAAUAGAAGAGGGUGGGCAACUGGGCAGUUAAAAUAUGUGCUGUUCCCUUUGUGCAGUAACUGUACUGUACCCAUCCAGCAAUAACAAUCCUUUAGAUACUGUAGACUGUAGUCUAUACACAAUGUUGAAGAUAUCCUACUGAGCAUACACUGUUUGAAUCAACAUUGUUUCCACAUAAUUUCAAUAAAAUUACACUGA